Non-coding RNA from Manduca sexta (tobacco hornworm), 64 nucleotides. Lineage: Eukaryota; Metazoa; Arthropoda; Insecta; Lepidoptera; Sphingidae. The record is from the annotation of a RefSeq genome assembly.
AGUCUUAUAUUCAACAAUGAUAUAAAAUUGCAAAUUUUAAGGAGUAAAAUAUUUACUAAGGCUU